UUUUGGAAUAUGUUUUAUUCUGUACAGGCUUCCUUUUCACGCUGUCAUUUAGGUUAGUAGAGUAACUACAAUGUUGUUGAUCCAUCCUCAGUUCUCUAUCAUAGUGAAAUCCCUGAAUGGUUUCCUUCCUCACCGGUAGCUAAGUUAGGAAGGACACCUGUAUCUUUGCAGUGACUUGUGUAUUGAUACACCAUCCAAAGUGUAAUUAAUAACUUCAACAUGCUCAAAGGGAUAUUCAAAGUUGUUUUUUUUACCCAUGUACUAGGUUCCCUUCUUUACGAGACAUUGGAAAACCUCCCUGGUCUGUGUGGUUCGACCUGUUUUGAAAUUCACUGCCCGACUGAGGGACCUUGCAUGUGUGGAGUAGUCAUUAAAAAAAAAUCUAACACAAAUAUUGCACACAGAGUCCGUGCAACUUAUGACAUGUUAAGCAAAUUUGUACUCCUGAACUUAUUUAGGCUUUCCCUAACAAAGGGGUUGAAUACUUAUUGACUCAAGACAUUUCCGCUUUUCAUGUUUUGUAGAAAUUUUCAAAAACAUAAUUCAAUAUUGUGAGGGUGACACAAUCUCAAUUGUAUUCAUUUUAAAUUCAGGCUGUAACACAAACAAAAUGUGUAAAUAGUCAAAGGGGUGUGGAUACAUUGUAUCGAUCUUUCCUUAUGAAUCUAGCCCUAAUUAGACUUUGUUUGAAGAAAAAUAAGAGAAAUAAAAAAAGGUUUUCACGAGUUUCCCCAAUAGUGGAAACAAGUAUUUAAGAAUCUCUUUGAAUGUGUACUCUCCUUUUAAACUUGGCUAUUCAUAUGUUGUUGUCGUCAUUGACAACCGUACUGUAGCUCUUUUGUCGUCGUUUUAUGCAUUGAUUGACCUGUGAACGCAUUACAUUUAGAUCUAACUAUCAGUAGGAAUAUGUAUAAUCAUAUGCUGUUCAGCGAGUUGAACCUGCAGAUCUGUUGUUCUGGAGUACAGGCUAACGAAACAAUGCUCAUAUGAAGUGCUAGUUGACUGUGUUGUCUUUUUUUUUCUUGAUCUGUUAAGACUGCUGGGACCUUGUUAAAGUUACAGGUGACAUAGACCCUGUCUGCCUUAGAGGAUAAAGCUACAGGUGACAUAGACCCUGUCUGCCUUAGAGGAUAAAGCUACAGGUGACAUAGACCCUGUCUGCCUUAGAGGAUAAAGCUACAGGUGACAUAGACCCUGUCUGCCUUAGAGGAUAAAGCUACAGGUGACAUAGACCCUGUCUGCCUUAGAGGAUAAAGCUACAGGUGACAUAGACCCUGUCUGCCUUAGAGGAUAAAGCUACAGGUGACAUAGACCCUGUCUGCCUUAGAGGAUAAAGCUACAGGUGACAUAGACCCUGUCUGCCUUAGAGGAUAAAGCUACAGGUGACAUAGACCCUGUCUGCCUUAGAGGAUAAAGCUACAGUCAUGUCUUUAGUUGUAUGCCUGUUCUUUCUAUUGAAGACCCUUCUAGGGUUAUGUGCAAUGACAAUGUUUUGUAAAUGUGUAAUAUUUAACCUUUUAAAGUUGUAGAAUGACAAGCUUGUAUUUUUCUCAAUAUUUAUAAAUGCUACAGUACUACCCUUGAGCAGGUUCAUACAUGCGAUGGUUGUCUGUUGGCACACAGGGUUCUGGGCGUGUAAUGAUAAAAGCAUCUCUGAGUAGGACUGCUGGAUCUCGGAUCAAGUCUCGCUGGUCCAUGUAAUAUUCAUUGUAAUCUAAAACUGAUCCUAGAUCAGUAAUCCUACUCUGAAACGUGAUAAGAAUACAGGCCCUUGUGUUGGAAGUGUCUAAAAAUCCAUUUUGUCAUAGGUCUUACUUACUUUCUAUGGUUUUGUACAUUAACUCCCAAGUUGUGGUAAUAAAAUGCAUACAAGGCUCUAAAUGCUA
This is a long non-coding RNA of Oncorhynchus tshawytscha (Chinook salmon), 1886 nucleotides long. RefSeq lists it as uncharacterized. NCBI's taxonomy places the organism in Eukaryota, Metazoa, Chordata, Actinopteri, Salmoniformes, Salmonidae. The record is from RefSeq and is a predicted model, not a curated record. The transcript is spliced from 2 exons.